RNAcentral lists this long non-coding RNA (288 nucleotides) under Hordeum vulgare. RNAcentral's name for it is "long non-coding RNA (HVUL_LNC014836)". The record is from RNAcentral. Lineage: Eukaryota; Viridiplantae; Streptophyta; Magnoliopsida; Poales; Poaceae.
AAUAAAAUGUAUAUUUCAUUUCAGUAGCAUAUCACAUCAAAUACAAUACAUCAUCCAACGACUCCACGCAUUAAGGUUCAACGCCUAACAAGGGCACAUCAAAAUAAUUUUACAUGUGCACAACAGAAUACUUCUACAAGUGCAAGUGCACAGAAAAAGGACCCAACAAGUGCACAAUCGCACAUAAAGAGAGUUCCACAAAGAUCGGAUGAGAACCACAAGUAUCUUCACAUCCUCUUCCUGUGCACAAUAUGUUCUUGCCAUUGCCGCCUGCAAGAAGAAAAUAAU